This is a long non-coding RNA of Oryzias melastigma (Indian medaka), 1457 nucleotides long. RefSeq lists it as uncharacterized. The transcript is spliced from 2 exons. Lineage: Eukaryota; Metazoa; Chordata; Actinopteri; Beloniformes; Adrianichthyidae. The record is from RefSeq and is a predicted model, not a curated record.
UAUAUUCACCUCACCAAUUAUUGCAAAGACUGUUAAUUCUCUUUUAUGGUUCCAUGGAAAAUGUAUUGCUAGUUUUUUUAGUUUCUAACUGUUUGUCUGUCGUUGUGACCCAUGCAGAGAACCACCAGUUUGAAUUAUUUUCCAUGCAUUAAUGAUCAUCCUGUUUUGGUCUGGGGUUUUGAGUCAUGGAGAAAGAUGGAUACCGAGACCUUCUUGACCACCUUUUCUGGCGACUCAAGUAGGACAGCAAGGAGUAUCUUGGUCAGCCAAAAAAAGGAAUUUAUCUAUUUCUCCGUCUACUUCAAAGUUGGCUUCUAGUUGGCAGGAAUCAAGGUGUAUGAAUGAGAUUCUUGCAAGAUUUCCAUAACAUUUAAACUUAAUUCUCUUGAUGUAGAGAAACAACUUUAACUCAAACUUUAUAUAUUUGUAUACCGUUUUUCAGUCAAACACAACACAAAGCGCUUAACAUACAACAAAAGCAAAUAACAUACAUAUUAAAAACACAAAAACACAGUGUUUUAAAAGAAAUUCACACAUUAACACAAAUUUAACUUCCCUCGCUCCCCUAGUUCCUCCCCCCACCCACCGAGUUCCCCCAAAAUGGCCCUAACAACAAAACUAAAAAAAGAGUCAAGAACUGCAGAAGGAAACAGUCUGGCUUGGCACUACGAUGUAGAAACGGUUUGUUAUCCAUUUAUUCCAAGGCCCAGCCCGACCACGGGGAGCAUCGCCACAGCGCCCGCUCAGCACAGGGUCAGUGCAGGGCCUGUUCUACAGAGCUGGACCCCAGCCACCCGAAUGAGAAGGGGCACCGCAGUAACAGCCCCCCUGCAGGACGAGCCCCAGAAAAGAGGAUCCCCAUGAGGAAACACUGGAGUUUAAAAUAAAUAAAUAAAUGAGAAGCAUUAAAAACAAUUAAAAAUACUUUAAUAAUAUGAAUACAAUAAUAGUAAAAUUAUUGUUAGUAGAUUAAAAUAAGAAAUUAGUUUAUAAAUUAAUAUAAAAUGAUUCACAUAGAAGUUUAAAAAAAUGUAAAAAAAAAUAAUAUAAAACUUAAUAACUACAAAGGUCAUGUAAAAGCGAGUGUCACGAUUCUGCCCCACCCUCACCUGCCUGAUUGCUCAUUCUGAACACCUGCGCGCUCCUCUAUUUAAGACUCUUCCCCUCCAGGCUCAGUACUGGAUUGUUGUCUACUCCCUGAAGUUCUCAGUACGCACGCCUUGCUGUUUUGUCUCGUCCUCGACCCUGCUCACACUCUGGAUUCCUGCUCCUGUCUUCACCCUUCGGUACCUCCGCCUUGGACCCACUCUGAUCUCCGUGUUGCCGACCCUCGCUUCGUCCACGUCUUGCCGCCCCUGCCUUCUCCUCUGAAUAUUUCUGCUGCCCUGAAGAACCCUUGGACUCCCCCUACUGCUUGGAGGACCUUACUGCAGACCUAAUAAACUGCUUUACUUAAC